AACAUUUCAGCUGGUUGAAGAUUUGAGAAGGGGGGUAUUGUGGAAACAAGGUCAACAGGGGAGUACUGGUGUAAAGAUUAGGAACCACCGCUCUAAAAUAUCGACAGUUCGUUCUUUUUUCAAAUUAUUUGGCUUUGGCACAGUGCCACCUUGACCAUUUCCGAUACUUCUAAAUGACUACUGACUAGACAUAUCUGAAUUAUAUCGUCAGUUUCGUUAUUAGAAAUCCUGUAACAUGUUUGUGGAACUUCAUCAUCAAUCACCUAAUGUUGUAUAAUAUAACAGUUUGACUUUUAUGGUUAAGACGCACAUGCCAAAUGUGGUUGCUGAAGGCAAGCAUUACGGCAAGUAUUAUAUAUAGGUGUCAUUGAUAUUCAAUAAAAUAAAUGGUUACAGGAAACUCGACACUUUUAUGCAGAUAUUUUGAUAUAUUGAGGCUUCACUCUUUUCAGUCUAUUACAAUAGAACGAGAUAUGAGAUAAUUAAAACUCGCAGGUCGGAAUGUUUACGUUGGUGAGGCGGCAGACGAUGGCGCCGGAAGAAAUCCAUAAUUUAACUUUUUUUGACAGUCUAGUCAAGUGUCAUGGGAUCAACAGGUCAUUAGAGGUUGCAUCAAAUGAUCCUUGUGAAGAUGGAAUGCUCCAUGUUGCAAAGUUGGCUCGAUCCUUUGAGUAAUUCCUUUGGUGCUAUACUAAAGGGAUUUUAUGACCACAGGAACAGCCUGUAGAGGAGAUGCCACCUCUGAGAGAGACAUGGCUGGUGACUGACUCUACUCAAUAGCUAAUGCCUAUUGCUAAGCAGGGAUAUUGCAAGUGGUCAAGAUUACAGGGAUAAUUGCUCCUGUUUUGAGGCAUCAGAAACUUCCAUAAAGGAUCAGUCAUCCAUUAUGGUGCAUGUGAAGAACCGGCAUUGUGCAGACAAACACUUUGACUCAACUCACCUUUAUUUACUACAUCAACUGCAGUGGAAGACAGAUCUGAUAAACUGUAUUCUCCUCAUAAAGUUUUCCAGUAAAAUUGUGAGGUACAGUGUUGAUUUGAACUUAUUUCUCAGUCAAAUGAAUUGGAAUCAAAUUAAAUCUUGUUAUAUUUGAGUUUGAUGUCUUUUCAAAAUGUUUGAUAAGUACAUAGUGAUAUUAUAUUCUGCUAAUUGAGAAGAAAUGUUUUCAAGUAUAACUAAUAUAAUUUUACAAUUUUAUUUGGAAGUGGAUAUAAGUUCAAUUUCUUUAAGUAUGUUUUUAGAGGCAAAAAUGGAAAUCCUUAUAUUUAAUAAAUGUAUUUUUAUUAUGUAUUUGUUGUUAUGAGAUGAGUUGGAACAAAAUGAUAUCCUAGCAUAUGAUAGUGCAUAUAUGUUUCAUACAUCACAUUCAUUAGUUAAGUUAUUUGCAUGUUUUCUUUGGUUAUUAUUAUUUUCAUAGCUGAACAUUUGGUGAGAAUAUAUUUUCACUCUUACUCUUCAUUACAGUUUCAUAUAAGUUUGAUAUAUGUAAUUUUAUUUUCAUUCUGUGUUGUCAAACAGCAUAUUUUCAGGCCUUCGUUUGAUCUUUAUAUCUUAGUGAGUAACUUCUGUGGAGGUAAAUCUACCCCUUAAAACUUAAAAUGAAGAUGGUAAAAGCCAAAUCAUUUAUUAGUUGACCUGCCUAGUGAAAGUUUAUUGUAAAAAAUUUAUACAGGAGAAUGCAAGAAUAGAAAGGGGAAUAUUCUGCAGUGUUUAACUUGGAUUGUCUUCAUAUAUUGAUUUGCAGGGAAAGCAAAACUCCAUUGUCUUGGUCAUGUAGGAUAGUUACAUAUCUAAUUCACUGCAGAGCUGCAUUAUUCCAUCAUGCAUGCACGCCACAGUAAAAUGUCAUUAUAUUUUAAUUUUUGAGCCAUGGCCGCCAAGUGCUCCUAGAAAAACCUUGCUCUCAUUACUUGAGUAUGAGUAAAUAGGUAAUGUCUAUGGAAUUAGUGUGAUCUAACUUAGAUAAUCCUUUAAAUGGAUCUGUGUGCUCAAGUGAAAUAGUUUUGUAACUUAGAUUGAAUGGGUUUGAAUUCUUGUCAAAGAGGUUAGUUUUGUAUCUAUUUCAAUACUCAACUGUAUCAUUCUAUCAUACAUGUACAUGUUAUAUUGAAAAUAGGCAGAAAUAAAAUUUAUUUUUGUA
This 2140-nucleotide unclassified non-coding RNA is filed under the name Penaeus japonicus. RNAcentral's name for it is "dynein regulatory complex protein 9-like, transcript variant X3". Lineage: Eukaryota; Metazoa; Arthropoda; Malacostraca; Decapoda; Penaeidae. The record is from RNAcentral.